AUGCCUUUUGCUCAACAUAGCAUGGAGUAUUUGGGCCACAUUAUUUCAGAUGCUGAAGUUACUACUGAUCCGACAAAGACUGCUGCCAUGGUGGACUGGCCCACUCCCACAAAUGUCACUGAGUUAAGGGAAUUUUUAGGGCUCACUGGAUAUUACAGGAAUUUUUUCCAGAAUUAUGGGUUACUGGCUAAACCACUGACAGCUCUUCUCAAGAAACAGGCCUUCCAGUGGAUGGACACAGCCCAGAGAGCUUUUCGAUUGUUGAAACAGGCAAUGGCUACUACUCCAGUUCUGGCAUUACCAGAUUUCAACAAAUCCUUUACUGUGGAAACAAAUGCUUGCAAUACUGGUAUUAGGGCUUGUGCUUACACAAGAGGACCAUCCCAUAGCUUAUUACCACAAGGCCUUGGGGGUUAA
Molecule: ribosomal RNA, 417 nt
Filed under: Triticum aestivum (bread wheat)
Lineage: Eukaryota; Viridiplantae; Streptophyta; Magnoliopsida; Poales; Poaceae
Description: partial small subunit ribosomal RNA
Source: RNAcentral